Molecule: RNA transcript, 1625 nt
Organism: Quercus lobata
Lineage: Eukaryota; Viridiplantae; Streptophyta; Magnoliopsida; Fagales; Fagaceae
Gene name: TLD-domain containing nucleolar protein
Exons: 9
Source: RefSeq, a predicted model, not a curated record
CCUAACCUUCAAUUCCUUAUAUUCCUCCGUUGAUCCAUCGCUUGCUGCCAUUAUUCAUUAUUUCUCUCUCACACACCACCGACUCUAUUUUUGUUCACUUUCUCGUAAUUAUUUCCUUUUCACAAAACAAAAGCAAAACACAAAAAGCUGAUUUACAUUUACGUUAAAAGAACAAAAACACGAACACAAAGCUUGAUAGCAAUAGAGAGGUUAGGUUCGCCAUUAUUAUCAUAAAAAAAUCAGGAGGAUGCACACGUUGAAAGACAAAGUGAGUGAGAGCCUGUCUCGUUUCUUUGCUGAUUCCCCCAACUCAUCGUCCUCCUCCUCUUCUCCUUCACCUCAGGCCAGGUCGUAUUCUAAAGGGGAGAAACCUGUUUCUUCGUAUUUUUCCUACAUUAUCCCUUCUGUCAGCUUCAAUGGAUUGAGAUCGAAUAAUCAUCAGCAUGAUCUCAAACCAAGUCAUUCAGACACUGAUGGAUAUAGAUAUGUGAACUUAGAAGCUGAAGAUAAAUUCUUAGAUGACUACGUAGAAUGUAGUCCAGUAUUUGGGAAGAAGGCAACUGUAAGUAAUCAAGAAGAUAAUGAAGACCCGGUUUCUGGAAGGAGCACUAGUGGGUCUGAAAUGUUUGAAGAUGCAACUGACCAACCCAGUCCACGGAAGCAUUUACCCUAUCUCAUGGACGAGUCUGUUUUUAUUUCUGCGGACUUGUAUGAAUUUUUGCUGUCGUCCCUUCCUAAUAUUGUAAAAGGGUGCCAGUGGGUCUUGUUGUACAGUACGUUGAAACAUGGUAUAUCACUGCGUACACUUAUUCGCAAGAGUGCUGAACUUUCUGGCCCUUGUUUGCUGAUUGUUGGUGAUCGGCAAGGUGCUGUGUUUGGUGGGCUGCUAGAAUGUCCCUUAAAGCCUACAGCAAAGAGGAAAUAUCAAGGGACAAACCAGACAUUCGUAUUUACAACCAUAUAUGGUGCACCGAGACUAUUUAGACCAACUGGAAGCAAUCGGUAUUACUACUUGUGUUUGAAUGACAUACUAGCCCUUGGUGGUGGUGGUAACUUUGCUUUGUGCUUGGAUGGAGAUCUGUUAAAUGGAACCAGCGGACCUUGCGAAACAUUUGGGAAUUUAUGCUUGGCUCAUAACCAAGAAUUUGAGUUAAGAAAUGUUGAGUUUUUUAAAUGGUUUGGUCUUUGGAACCUUCUUUGUAACAACUAGAAUAGCUGCAACAACCUAACGCAGAGGAGGGAGUGAUGGCUAUUGUGACGACAAUGCUAUGGGGUUUUAAGCAUGCUUCGCAUUACCUUACCUAGGACAAGGCACUAAGAUGCUUUGCUCACUUGUCAUUCAAGAUCUGUUGUAAUCCUAUUCUUUAUUCAUUUAAUUUAAAGUUACCUCCAUUUGUAAUACCGAAGAGCUCUUAUUUUAUAUAUAUAUAUAUAUAUAUAUAUAUGGGAGAUGAUGUAUUUAUCCAUAAGAUGAAUCAAUAGAAUUUGAGUUUUAGUUAGAAAAUGCUUUUGUAGCCAUGGUAUUCUGAGCAGCCACUCUUGCAUUUCAGUGGCUAGAUGGUUGGUAGCGAAUGCCAUACAACACUGCAGAUUUUCUUUCUAGUGUGGCUGUGACCCAAGCUGCA